Molecule: ribosomal RNA, 469 nt
Filed under: uncultured Burkholderia sp.
Lineage: Bacteria; Pseudomonadati; Pseudomonadota; Betaproteobacteria; Burkholderiales; Burkholderiaceae
Description: bacterial SSU rRNA
Rfam family: Bacterial small subunit ribosomal RNA
Source: RNAcentral
GAACAUGUCCUGUAGUGGGGGAUAGCCCGGCGAAAGCCGGAUUAAUACCGCAUACGAUCUGAGGAUGAAAGCGGGGGACCUUCGGGCCUCGCGCUAUAGGGUUGGCCGAUGGCUGAUUAGCUAGUUGGUGGGGUAAAGGCCUACCAAGGCGACGAUCAGUAGCUGGUCUGAGAGGACGACCAGCCACACUGGGACUGAGACACGGCCCAGACUCCUACGGGAGGCAGCAGUGGGGAAUUUUGGACAAUGGGCGAAAGCCUGAUCCAGCAAUGCCGCGUGUGUGAAGAAGGCCUUCGGGUUGUAAAGCACUUUUGUCCGGAAAGAAAUCCUUGGUUCUAAUAUAGCCGGGGGAUGACGGUACCGGAAGAAUAAGCACCGGCUAACUACGUGCCAGCAGCCGCGGUAAUACGUAGGGUGCAAGCGUUAAUCGGAAUUACUGGGCGUAAAGCGUGCGCAGGCGGNUUGCUAA